Molecule: non-coding RNA, 46 nt
Organism: Schistosoma mansoni
Lineage: Eukaryota; Metazoa; Platyhelminthes; Trematoda; Strigeidida; Schistosomatidae
Source: Rfam
GCACUACUGAGGAGUCCCACAAUAGGACGAAACGGCCGUUCAGUGC